Molecule: long non-coding RNA, 1350 nt
Organism: Rattus rattus (black rat)
Lineage: Eukaryota; Metazoa; Chordata; Mammalia; Rodentia; Muridae
Exons: 2
Source: RefSeq, a predicted model, not a curated record
UCUGAAUGGGAGGUUCUGGAAUGGGGAGGCUAUGGGUGAGAUGGAAUGGGUAUGUAUAGUUUUGUAUUUGUGACAGGUAGCAUCUCCUCUGUAACACAGGCUGGCCCAAAACUCACAAUCCUCCUUCCUUGGUGCUUUAGCAUAUCCUUCCAAAACCUAGGUUUAUAAAUCUUGUAGAAUAAGCAAGUGUUAGCUACUUUGUUAGGCAAUCAUCCUCUGUUGCUUCUUUAUGUGUAGAUAAUCAAGGAGGCUACGGAUCUGUUGGGAGGAUGGGAAUGGGAAACAGCUACAGUGGAGGCUAUGGUGCUCCUGAUGGCUUGGGAGGCUAUGGUCGUGGUGGUGGAGGCAGUGGAGGUUACUAUGGGCAAGGUGGAAUGAGUGGAGGUGGAUGGCGUGGGAUGUACUGACAACACCACCCCAACGUACACGUCCUAACACCUGCUCUACUAGACUUUCUUACAGAUUUCUUUUGUAUUUCAAGAACUUUAUAAUGACUGAAGGAAUGUGUUUUCAAGAUAUUAUUUGGUAAAACAACAAACUGUGAUGGGAAAAUCUGUUUUCUGUAGGUUUUAUUUGUUGCAUACUUUGACUUAAAAUAAAUUUUUAUAUUCAAACCAUUGAUGUUGCUACUUUUUAUAUAUAUAGGUACUCCUAAAGAUGUGCUGCCUUCGUAAGAUUUGGGAUGAUGUAUUUUACUGUUAGCAUAGGGCAGUGUUAGAGGGCAAGACUGCAAGUAGGCAUCUGGGAUAGCGCUAACUUUCACUCCUGGACAUCAUGUAAAUAAAAGCCUAAAGAUAGAUCUAGGUGGUUCAAGAAUAUAAGUUAGUAUUCUCUUUUCAGUCUCGUUUAUCGAGCAUAGCUCUGAAUAAUUUAAGAGGUAUCUGGAUUCUAAAUAUUCACAAUUGUAUUAUGAACGGGGGAGGGAGGUAGGAGUAUUGAAAUUAUAGCUUGAGAUUUUAAAACCCUCAUAGCACUUGACUAAGAUACCAAAAAUGUUCCCAAAACUUGAGUUUGUCGGAGUAGUUUGAGUAUUUUCAGUUUCUCACCUAAGAAAAUAGGGUCUUCAAUGGUGUAAAUGACAUUUAGGAAAAUGUAAAACAAUGCUGUAGCUGGUUUUGUGUCUGAAACUGGCUUUGAGUAGUUAAGUGCUCUGUAUAACAAAGGAAAGGUGCUUUCUACUAAUCUUUUAUCACUUUGGUCAAUAAGACAUUUCCCUAAAUUGGCUAAUGGAUCAAAAUGAACCUGUCAAUGUGAACUCAGUUAUUGAACUUGUUACUUGUUUUUGCUAGACAUGCUAUUAAUGUAAUAAAUGUCAACAUGGGAGAUAAAGGAAUGCUGUCUGUGCUAGUA